RNAcentral lists this transfer RNA (58 nucleotides) under Enterococcus faecium. RNAcentral describes it as "tRNA-His". It matches the Rfam family "tRNA", at positions 9 to 63 of the family's 71-position model. From Rfam's summary of the family: Transfer RNA (tRNA) molecules are approximately 80 nucleotides in length. Their secondary structure includes four short double-helical elements and three loops (D, anti-codon, and T loops). The record is from RNAcentral. Lineage: Bacteria; Bacillati; Bacillota; Bacilli; Lactobacillales; Enterococcaceae.
GGCGACGUGGUCAACGCACCGGAUUGUGGCUCCGGCAUUCGUGGGUUCGAUUCCCAUC